RNAcentral lists this ribosomal RNA (402 nucleotides) under uncultured bacterium. Its description in RNAcentral is "bacterial SSU rRNA". It matches the Rfam family "Bacterial small subunit ribosomal RNA", at positions 355 to 774 of the family's 1533-position model. The record is from RNAcentral.
UGGGGAAUAUUGGACAAUGGGCGCAAGCCUGAUCCAGCCAUGCCGCGUGAGUGAUGAAGGCCUUAGGGUUGUAAAGCUCUUUCGCCAGGGACGAUAAUGACGGUACCUGGAUAAGAAGCCCCGGCUAACUUCGUGCCAGCAGCCGCGGUAAUACGAAGGGGGCUAGCGUUGUUCGGAAUCACUGGGCGUAAAGCGCAUGCAGGCGGACUGAUAAGUCAGGGGUGAAAGCCCGAGGCUCAACCUCGGAACUGCCUUUGAUACUGUCAGUCUUGAGUCCGGGAGAGGUGAGUGGAACUGCGAGUGUAGAGGUGAAAUUCGUAGAUAUUCGCAAGAACACCAGUGGCGAAGGCGGCUCACUGGCCCGGUACUGACGCUGAGAUGCGAAAGCGUGGGGAGCAAACA